RNAcentral lists this ribosomal RNA (251 nucleotides) under Thunnus albacares (yellowfin tuna). RNAcentral describes it as "partial 12S ribosomal RNA". It matches the Rfam family "Bacterial small subunit ribosomal RNA", at positions 1204 to 1533 of the family's 1533-position model. The record is from RNAcentral. Lineage: Eukaryota; Metazoa; Chordata; Actinopteri; Scombriformes; Scombridae.
AUGAGAGGGGAAGAAAUGGGCUACAUUCGCUAACAUAGCGAAUACGAACGAUGCACUGAAAACGUUCAUCUGAAGGAGGAUUUAGCAGUAAGUGGAAAAUAGAGUGUUCCACUGAAAUCGGCUCUGAAGUGCGUACACACCGCCCGUCACUCUCCCCAAGCUUACCAAUUUAUAUAUCUAAAACGCUUUAACUGCGAAGGGGAGGCAAGUCGUAACAUGGUAAGUGUACCGGAAGGUGCACUUGGAAAAAU